RNAcentral lists this ribosomal RNA (496 nucleotides) under uncultured bacterium. Its description in RNAcentral is "partial 16S ribosomal RNA". It matches the Rfam family "Bacterial small subunit ribosomal RNA", at positions 29 to 507 of the family's 1533-position model. The record is from RNAcentral.
AUGAACGCUGGCGGCGUGCCUAAUACAUGCAGGUCGAGCGAACGGACGAGAAGCUUGCUUCUCUGAUGUUAGCGGCGGACGGGUGAGUAACACGUGGAUAACCUACCUAUAAGACUGGGAUAACUUCGGGAAACCGGAGCUAAUACCGGAUAAUAUUUUGAACCGCAUGGUUCCAAAGUGAAAGACGGUCUUGCUGUCACUUAUAGAUGGAUCCGCGCUGCAUUAGCUAGUUGGUAAGGUAUCGGCUUACCAAGGCAACGAUGCAUAGCCGACCUGAGAGGGUGAUCGGCCACACUGGAACUGAGACACGGUCCAGACUCCUACGGGAGGCAGCAGUAGGGAAUCUUCCGCAAUGGGCGAAAGCCUGACGGAGCAACGCCGCGUGAGUGAUGAAGGUCUUCGGAUCGUAAAACUCUGUUAUUAGGGAAGAACAUAUGUGUAAGUAACUGUGCACAUCUUGACGGUACCUAAUCAGAAAGCCACGGCUAACUACGUG